This 493-nucleotide ribosomal RNA is filed under the name uncultured bacterium. RNAcentral's name for it is "partial 16S ribosomal RNA". It matches the Rfam family "Bacterial small subunit ribosomal RNA", at positions 30 to 523 of the family's 1533-position model. The record is from RNAcentral.
AUUGAACGCUGGCGGCAUGCUUUACACAUGCAAGUCGAACGGUAACAGGUUAAGCUGACGAGUGGCGAACGGGUGAGUAAUGCAUCGGAACGUGCCCGAUCGUGGGGGAUAACGCAGCGAAAGCUGCGCUAAUACCGCAUACGAUCUGAGGAUGAAAGCGGGGGACCGUAAGGCCUCGCGCGAUCGGAGCGGCCGAUGUCAGAUUGGGUAGUUGGUGGGGUAAAGGCUCACCAAGCCGACGAUCUGUAGCUGGUCUGAGAGGACGACCAGCCAAACUGGGACUGAAACGCGGGCCCGACUCCUACGGGAGGCAGCAGUGGGGAAUUUUGGACAAUGGGCGCAAGCCUGAUCCAGCAAUGCCGCGUGCAGGAAGAAGGCCUUCGAGUUGUAAACUGCUUUUGUACGGAGCGAAAAGGCUCUCUCUAAUACAGGGGGUUCAUGACGGUACCGUAAGAAUAAGCACCGGCUAACUACGUGCCAGCCGCCGCAGUAA